RNAcentral lists this small RNA (178 nucleotides) under Chrysemys picta bellii (western painted turtle). RNAcentral's name for it is "TUC338 (ENSCPBG00000009649.1)". Lineage: Eukaryota; Metazoa; Chordata; Testudines; Emydidae. The record is from RNAcentral.
GUGCAAGGUACUGGACUGUUGCAUUCUCUUUUUACCCAUAGAACAGGUACAGCAUGACAACAAUAGUGUAAGUUUCCUCCAUGCUCUUCCCUGCCAAUGGGUCUUACCAAUGCUCAGGAUGGACCUUAAAGGAGCUGGAGGGAUUCAUUCUCCAUAAGCUAAUCAAUCAAUGACCUGU